GCGCGCGUAGCUCAGUGGCAGUAGCAGGGUCCUUAUAAGGCCAAGGUCGCAGGUUCGAUCCCUGCCGCGCGCA
This 73-nucleotide transfer RNA is filed under the name Candidatus Wildermuthbacteria bacterium. RNAcentral's name for it is "tRNA-Ile". It matches the Rfam family "tRNA". From Rfam's summary of the family: Transfer RNA (tRNA) molecules are approximately 80 nucleotides in length. Their secondary structure includes four short double-helical elements and three loops (D, anti-codon, and T loops). The record is from RNAcentral. Lineage: Bacteria; Candidatus Wildermuthiibacteriota.